GGCCUGUUAGCUCAGUUGGUUAGAGCAUUGUGCUAAUAACGCAAAGGUCGCAAGUUUGAGACUUGCAUAGGCCG
Non-coding RNA from Telopea speciosissima, 74 nucleotides. NCBI's taxonomy places the organism in Eukaryota, Viridiplantae, Streptophyta, Magnoliopsida, Proteales, Proteaceae. The record is from the annotation of a RefSeq genome assembly.